AGCGAACGCUGGCGGCAGGCUUAACACAUGCAAGUCGAGCGGGCAUCUUCGGAUGUCAGCGGCAGACGGGUGAGUAACACGUGGGAACGUACCCUUCGGUUCGGAACAACUCUGGGAAACUGGAGCUAAUACCGGAUACGCCCUUAUGGGGAAAGGUUUACUGCCGAAGGAUCGGCCCGCGUCUGAUUAGCUAGUUGGUGGGGUAACGGCCUACCAAGGCGACGAUCAGUAGCUGGUCUGAGAGGAUGAUCAGCCACACUGGGACUGAGACACGGCCCAGACUCCUACGGGAGGCAGCAGUGGGGAAUAUUGGAUAAUGGGCGCAAGCCUGAUCCAGCCAUGCCGCGUGAGUGAUGAAGGCCUUAGGGUUGUAAAGCUCUUUUGUCCGGGACGAUAAUGACGGUACCGGAAGAAUAAGCCCCGGCUAACUUCGU
RNAcentral lists this ribosomal RNA (434 nucleotides) under uncultured bacterium. RNAcentral's name for it is "partial 16S ribosomal RNA". It matches the Rfam family "Bacterial small subunit ribosomal RNA", at positions 29 to 506 of the family's 1533-position model. The record is from RNAcentral.